UUGUAAUGAACCUAUUAUAAUCCAACAAGAUUUCAAUCAUCUUGUUGGAUUUUUUUAUUUGAAAUUAAUCAUUUAUCUAUCACUUUAUUAUUUUAGAAACAAAAAAAGGAAUGAUGAAAAGUUAUAUAAAACUUAACGUCAUUCCGUUUAAUUAGCAUAAAGCUAUAAAACAACAUACAGCCAUUGACAUACCUCGAAAAGAUAUGCCAACUUGGCUAUACAUUGAUACAUUUUCAGUUAAAGUACUAACAAUUAUACUUGCCUUCAAAUUCUCAAUUACCUUUGUCAUUUUAAAAUGACCAUAAACUUACAUUACAUUUAUCAACGUAUUCCGCUACAAAACACAUUAAUAAUAUGUAAAGAGGAUAUUUCUUCAAGUUAAAACCUUCUCAAAAUAUAACCGCUACAAUUAUACAUAAGAUUAAUGUUUCAACAUAUUAUAUAUAUUCCACAAUCAC
Molecule: non-coding RNA, 458 nt
Filed under: Staphylococcus argenteus
Lineage: Bacteria; Bacillati; Bacillota; Bacilli; Caryophanales; Staphylococcaceae
Source: RNAcentral